AGAAGCUUGCUUCUCUGUCGGCGAGUGGCGAACGGGUGAGUAUAGCAUCGGAACGUGCCAAGUAGUGGGGGAUAACCAAACGAAAGUUUGGCUAAUACCGCGUAAGCUCCAAGGAGGAAAGUAGGGGACCUAAAUAAGGCCUUACGCUAUUUGAUCGGCCGAUGUCGGAUUAGUUAGUUGGUGGGGUAAUGGCUCACCAAGGCAAUGAUCCGUAGCGGGUCUGAGAGGACGAUCCGCCACACUGGGACUGAGACACGGCCCAGACUCCUACGGGAGGCAGCAGUGGGGAAUUUUGGACAAUGGGGGAAACCCUGAUCCAGCCAUGCCGCGUGUAUGAAGAAGGCCUUAGGGUUGUAAAGUACUUUUGUUAGGGAAGAAAAGCUAGUUUUUAAUAAAAAUUAGUGAUGACGGUACCUAAAGAAUAAGCACCGGCUAACUACGUGCCAGCAGCCGCGGUAAUACGUAGGGUGCAAGCGUUAAUCGGAAUUAUUGGGCGUAAAGCGAGUGCAGACGGUUACUUAAGCCAGAUGUGAAAUCCCCAAGCUUAACUUGGGACGUGCAUUUGGAACUGGGUGACUAGAGUGUGUCAGAGGGAGGUAGAAUUCCACAUGUAGCGGUGGAAUGCGUAGAGAUGUGGAGGAAUACCGAUGGCGAAGGCAGCCUCCUGGGAUAACACUGACGUUGAGGCUCGAAGCGUGGGGAGC
This 704-nucleotide ribosomal RNA is filed under the name uncultured Neisseriales bacterium. RNAcentral's name for it is "bacterial SSU rRNA". It matches the Rfam family "Bacterial small subunit ribosomal RNA", at positions 74 to 769 of the family's 1533-position model. Lineage: Bacteria; Pseudomonadati; Pseudomonadota; Betaproteobacteria; Neisseriales. The record is from RNAcentral.